UUGAACGCUGGCGGCAUGCUUUACACCUGCAAGUCGGACGGUAACAGGCCUUCGGGUGCUGACGAGUGGCGAACGGGUGAGUAAUGCAUCGGAACGUACCCAGAGGUGGGGGAUAACGCAGCGAAAGCUGUGCUAAUACCGCAUGUGAUCUGAGGAUGAAAGCGGGGGACCGAGCAGCAAUGUUUGGCCUCGCGCCUUUGGAGCGGCCGAUGUCGGAUUAGCUAGUUGGUGGGGUAAAGGCCUACCAAGGCGACGAUCCGUAGCUGGUCUGAGAGGACGACCAGCCACACUGGGACUGAGACACGGCCCAGACUCCUACGGGAGGCAGCAGUGGGGAAUUUUGGACAAUGGGCGCAAGCCUGAUCCAGCAAUGCCGCGUGCGGGAAGAAGGCCUUCGGGUUGUAAACCGCUUUUGGCAGGAACGAAACUGUGUCCGCUAAUACCGGGCGCUAAUGACGGUACCUGCAGAAUAAGCACCGGCUAACUACGUG
Molecule: ribosomal RNA, 491 nt
Filed under: uncultured bacterium
Lineage: Bacteria
Description: partial 16S ribosomal RNA
Rfam family: Bacterial small subunit ribosomal RNA
Source: RNAcentral